Molecule: long non-coding RNA, 268 nt
Filed under: Elaeis guineensis (African oil palm)
Lineage: Eukaryota; Viridiplantae; Streptophyta; Magnoliopsida; Arecales; Arecaceae
Description: long non-coding RNA (EGUI_LNC065466)
Source: RNAcentral
CCGGCCAUCGGGAGAUUUUUUACCAUGAUCUGCAUUCUAGACUCCAGAGAUUCUUUUUCUCAGACUUGGAGAAGAUCUUCAGCAGUAAGAGAAGAAGAUCUGAUGGAGAAUAGGUUGAGGAAAGUGGGUUCAGAAGAGAUUGGAAGGUGGUAGAGGGUUGUUGAAAUUUUUAGGCUGCAGUCUGUAGGACUGGAAAGAGAGAAAGAUUUGGAGGACUUUUUGGAGGCUUUUGAUGUGAGAUUUUUAUGAUUUGUAGGAGACUGAUGGA